UGUUUGUUUAUUUCAUCUCAAAACAGGUUGUAGCUACCGGUAACCAUAUUGCUUGUUUAACAUCAACACAUCUUGCUGUAUGCUCUUCGUUUGAGAGGCUCCAUGGCAUCUGUUGGGUGGAAAUGUUUCAAAUCUCUGAAAUAUCUCAGAGAGAUAAAGUAUCUGGCGAAAGCUCAGCAAAAGGGAUUAAUGGAUGAAAAAUGUCAAAUGGACAUUGUGAGGAAAGGUGAGGAGAGCCUAAAGUCCAGCAUACAGCAUUCUGAGCAUCAGAAAAGUGUGAACGAUGAUAGGAUACAGAUGGAGAACAAACAGAAAGAGUCACAGUUAAGAGCAACUAAUACUCUGAAACGUAGAUGCAACAGCAUGGAGAAACUGAAACCAGAUUAUUUUAGGCCUUUCUCAUUUUUCUUAGAACUUUCAAGCACUUGACAUGGGUUUGUUCACCAUCUUAAGCAACGUUUGUAGCCUUCAUUGCUACACGCUUGGGAGGCGCUCUUUUGUCCCUGUGUUAAACACACAACAUUUCUAUUCAACUUUCAUUUCAUUAUCAAUCCCAGAAAGCAGGCUCACACAAUGAAUGUUUUAUUUUUAUGUUUAUAUUAGAUAUAUGCCACUGUAUUUGUUUGUACUUAUUGCUCUUUAUAUAAACUAUUAAUUAUAUGCACUUAAUAUAAGUGCUGAGCUAUUGAUUUUAUGAAGUAUCUCAUGUGAAGCCUCACAUCAUAUGAAACUAAAGUGUUUUUGUUGGUUGCUCUGGUAUCUUAAUUCAGAUUUAUUUAAACAGAAUAGGAAUAAAUAUUUAACACAAGAAACAUAACAGUAAAAAUAAAAAUAUACAUACCUGUAUAUUCUAUAACCCUACCCCUAAACUUUCUGCAUUUUUACAUACAUCAUUCUGUAUGAAUUAUAAGCUUGUUUCCUCAUAGGGACUUAUGGGAAAUUUUUCCCAUAAGGUUAGAAUUUACUGGUGUUACUUGUGGGGACAUUUGGUCCCCAUUAAUACCAGUACACAAAUACACACAUCCUCUGAAUAUGCAUUUUAUUUUCUAUGUUUAAACUGUGACUGUACAUAGUAACCUACAAAGGGUGUAUCAACUGUACCAGCUUGUGUAUUUCUUCAAAUACUAUGUUAACCUUUUAACGUUCAUGUUAGAAAAUGUGUCCAUGUUUAUUACAAUUUGAGUAGUUUGUGUGCAAAUGUGACAUUUUACCUAUUUUCAUAACACUGCACAACUAAACGGCAUGUGACCCAAUAGGACACCGAUCUGGGUAUGUGAUACACUGUCUCAACCGUACCCCACUGACAAUCUCAAAAAAGACCUUGCAUGGCACAAUGUCAUCAGAGACGGACGGGGAGUGAAAUAUGGCCCUGGAUUUUCUCCAAAAUAAGCCCACCAAAACCAUCAAUUUGUAACCAUUAAAACAAUUAAAUAAUG
This is a long non-coding RNA of Carassius gibelio (silver crucian carp), 1436 nucleotides long. RefSeq lists it as uncharacterized. Lineage: Eukaryota; Metazoa; Chordata; Actinopteri; Cypriniformes; Cyprinidae. The record is from RefSeq and is a predicted model, not a curated record. The transcript has 3 exons.